RNAcentral lists this transfer RNA (87 nucleotides) under Sodalis glossinidius str. 'morsitans'. It matches the Rfam family "tRNA". From Rfam's summary of the family: Transfer RNA (tRNA) molecules are approximately 80 nucleotides in length. Their secondary structure includes four short double-helical elements and three loops (D, anti-codon, and T loops). Lineage: Bacteria; Pseudomonadati; Pseudomonadota; Gammaproteobacteria; Enterobacterales; Bruguierivoracaceae. The record is from Rfam by way of RNAcentral.
GGUGAGGUGUCCGAGUGGCUGAAGGAGCACGCCUGGAAAGUGUGUAUACACGAAAGUGUAUCGAGGGUUCGAAUCCCUCCCUCACCG